RNAcentral lists this ribosomal RNA (253 nucleotides) under uncultured bacterium. RNAcentral describes it as "partial 16S ribosomal RNA". It matches the Rfam family "Bacterial small subunit ribosomal RNA", at positions 524 to 776 of the family's 1533-position model. The record is from RNAcentral.
UACGUAGGGUGCAAGCGUUGUCCGGAAUUAUUGGGCGUAAAGGGCUCGUAGGCGGUCCAUCGCGUCGGGAGUGAAAACCCAGGGCUUAACCCUGGGCUGGCUUCCGAUACGGGCAGACUAGAGUGAUGUAGGGGAGACUGGAAUUCCUGGUGUAGCGGUGAAAUGCGCAGAUAUCAGGAGGAACACCGAUGGCGAAGGCAGGUCUCUGGUCGACAUCUGACGCUGAGACGCGAAAGCGUGGGGAGCGAACGGG